GAUUUACUUAACGAGGUUUUGCUAACCACGCCCACAUUCCUAAUAGGAUUAUGUUCAUAUCGUUCAGCUUCAGCCAGGGAUGCAGGUCGCACUCUGUCACAAAACUUUAAGACAAUUCCCCGAUGGGUUGGACCCAAUAUCUGACAAAAGCAGAGAAUCCGAUUGAAUCAGAGUGCAUUAUGGGAAUUAUAGUUUUGUUUUUGUUUUAAGAACAUUUCUGCUGCUUUGGAUUUUUUUUUUAUUUCUUAUGGUCCCGAUUCAGAGAAAAUAAAAACAAACACCAAAGUUGUGCCGAGUCCACGUCAGAAAACGUUUAUUUUCUCCAUUUUGAUUGUUUGCACUGAUUGUGUUGUUCACUCCAAAAGCUCAUAGGAACAGCGAUGGUACUAACUUUAUAAUAGCGAUACACCUGAAAACUAAUUCACAGUAGAAAAAGACUGAAUGAGGAUGACGAAAUGUUUCAUAAAAUCCAACGUGAGAUGGAAGAGGAGCCCACGCGUGAGGAUCAGCCUGAAGGAAAGGAAGGAAAGUCUGGAUGAUGAAGAUGCUGAACGUCAGAUGCUGAACGUCAGGUUGGUUUGCUGCUGCUGCUGUCAGAAGCUUUGGGAAUUCUUCUCUGCUGGUUAAAGCCUUGAUUUGCGGACAUUUCCAGGGGAGGAAUCUUUAGAGGAGCUAAAGGACGGGUUGUUCUUCAUCACCUCCAGGAUCUGCAGUAUAUUCAAGAAAAAAAAAUACUAUUUGAAAUAAUUAAUGUGUUCAUCUUCUGCAAAAAUGCCUUUCCUAGAUGAAGAAAAAUGUAUUUGUUCACAAAUGCAAACUAGAUAUUCAAAAUGUUUAAACUUUACACAAAAACAGAAAUAUUUAUCUUUUUUAAAUAAAUGAAACUGCAUUUGUUAACAAUUAUUUGCUUGGUUUGUUAGCAAAUAACUUUUGGUCUUUCUUCAAUCUAUAAAAUUAACAUCAGAGAUUAGAGUCUUUUUAUGGACUAAAAACAUAUAAUUGUUUGUAGGGACGUUUUUUUUAAGUUUUUAUUUCUUAAAAACAGCUCAAAGACAACAAAUGACUUAAUUUUUUAGAAUUUUAAUGCACUUUCAGUUUAUUGUACAGCAAACUUGCAGAACUGUAAACUGUAGCAAAUGUCUUAGUUUAAAAAAAUUUUUUUUUUAAAUGUUUAGAAAUCAAAGAAAACAGCUAUUAUGUUGAGGGUGUUAACCCUUGUCCUAUCCAAGGCACGUUAACGUUGGGAGUUGGGUCAUCUAGACCCACUAGACAGUGCUCUGAACCUUUUUUCUUCAAUGAUUUGUGAUCUUCACUGGUGUCCAUGGAUUACAUGAAAUCUUUCCACCUUUUUCAUGGUAGGGAGAACAUGUCAAAGUAAGGGUGGGGUCAUCUAAGAUAGCACAAGGGUUAAUAUAUAUAUCUAUAUACACAUCUACGCAGCACUGCCGCCCAACCGCCCACCUUUUAUCAAGGCUUGUCAAAGCUGCAUCUGGUAAUUAUGCUAACAAUGCAGGUUCUGCUAUUGUGGCUAAAAGUGCUAGAAUAGCGAUCAGCAUCAUCAACUGACUCAGAAAAACACAUUAAGAUACUUAUUAUGCUAACUAUGCUAGUUUUGCUAAUAUAGCUAAAUGUGCUAACUUAGCGAUUUUAUCUCCAUAGCACCAAUUUUGUGUUUUGGUCACCUCAGUUUGACAAACAGAUCGUCAGUUUCAGACGAAAGAGGAAAAGUCAACUUUUUGUUGUCCUUAGCAACAGUGGGUUUUUGCUGACCAUGCCCACAUUCCUUAUAUGUCCAUAUCCAGUGUUUUUCAUUAUGUUCAGUUGCAGCCUUGGAUGCAGGCAUUCACAUUUUAAAGUAUUCCAUUGAAAAACACAACAGUUAUAACAGUGCGCCACUUUUGCUAGCUCGCCACGCGCACGCCGUUCAAAAUCUACAACUUCUAAUUCCAUUAUUUUGCAUUGUAUUUUUAUUUGUCUGUAGAUGCCUGAGAAGUUAGGAGACAAUCGCAAAAAAUCCCUAGGACGAGUUUUCCUUUGUAUCUGGCGCUAAAGGGGCUUUUAAAAAAAAGGCAAGAUGGCGGCCUUUUCCCAAGGUCAAAGGUCAAUGACACUUCUGUGGUGUUUGUAGACUGGAGGUGGAGUGUGUGCAAUUGCGUGAAAAUAAUUCAAACAAAAGUGUUUUCAUUUAUUUUCGGAAAACACAAACGCCAAUUCUCAGAGUUCGCCACAAAAUGGCCGCCAAGCCGUAGGUCUUGUGGCCAUCCCAUAAUGAUUUCAAAACUUCUUUGGGAUAUCCCCAACACGUGUUUUAUCAAUUUUUUUCGGCCCCAUAAGUGAUUUUCGGCCCAUUCGUUUUUUUUACGUGUUUGUUCGUCGUGAUGUCAUCGUCUUUGGGGGGGGGGGGGGGGGACCUUGACUUUGUGGAAAAAUUAUUUUUGAAUUUAUCUGAGGUGUGUGCACAUUUUGGUGACUUUCCGAUCAUGUGGCGGGGGUCACAUCUUUGCUGAGAGCGGCGAAGUCGUUUAAACUGCAGUCAGUGAUGCUGCUGAAGGCCAUAAAAAAAAGAAGUUUUUAGAGUUAAAGGUUCAGUUUGGCUCCAAAAUCUUUCUGAAAAACAAAAUAUUGUUCAGUCGUAGAAGAAAUCUCAAAUUAAAAUGUGCAAGACUAAACAUUAAAGUGUCACCUUAAUAGUAAAACAACUAAAAUUGCCAUAAAAUAAAGAUUCCAGACCGAGAUAUUGAAAUAACUUCAAUAAGAAUGUAAGUUUAGCCUCCAGUGUAAAAGCAGUUGUUCCGCUUUUCUCUGCUGCAAUGAAAUUAAUCAGAUAUUUUUAUAUUUAGUUUCAUUAUUUCUAGGGCUGCACGAUAUGAGGAAAACUUGCGAUAUGCGAUAUUAGAGAUCAAUAUUGCGAUAACAAUAUAAGUUGCGGUAUAUAAUAAAAUAGAAAAAUGCCCAAAACAUCAUUCCCAUUUUAUUGCAACAGUUUAAAAUUAUACUCCAAAUGACCCUCAUUGACAUAGGUGACAAACAUCUAACAUGAUUGGCCUCCAUCUGAUUGGUCAAAGCAUAAAGGGAUUUAUUUGAUUCGUUAAAUGCGUCAAGCUGCCAUAAGAUUGUUUUAACACAUUUUGGGUUUUCUUUUGCGAUAUGCAUAUUGCAGAGCUGGAUAUUGCGAUAACCAUAAAUUUGCGGUAUAUUGUGCAGGCCUAAUUAUUUCUUUGUUUUAAUCAUAAUGUGUUCUGAUGAUUUCUGGUUCAUAUUUUUUAAUUCGCUGCAGCUUAAACUGCCUCUUUGUGUGUUUUUUUUUCAUCUAACGCGUCAUCAACCCUGAUUAUCAGAGCUGGGUCAGCCAUAAGCUAGAGGGAUCUGGCCUGACGCUGCGUUUCAGGAUCCCUCAGCAUCAGCAUCAGCAGCUGCCGCCACGUGACGCUGCGACCCGCUCAGCCGGCUCUGCUUAACGCAGCAGAUGCGGGGGGGGUGGGGGGGGGCAGAAAACGUCCCCGAGUCGAGUCCCUGACCCGGAUUAUUCCAGCUCCCCGCAGGAAUGAGAUGACCUGACACGAGCUGCAGACCUGCAGCUGCAUCCAGGUUUCCGUCGCCGUGACGACGAUGUGUGUUCCUGUCCAGGUGGAGGGUUUCUAACAGUUUAUUUUACAACGUCAAAGUGGGAUCAGAUCAGAAACCUCAGCUGAGGGGGGGGGCAUACCUGCAGAGGGGGCAACUCAGCCCAAACAAACCGCCGUAUUGUUUCCUCCAGGUCUCCCUCCUCCCUCACAGACCGACUCCCUGGAAAGCCUCAGGACUUGUGGUUCCUGAUGAACAGUGGCGCCUUUUCAGUCCGGCGGCUGAAGCAAACGGGGGGGGGGGGCGGGGGUCCUGCUCUGCUGCCCAUCACAGCUGCUUCAGGUGACGUCUCAAC
Molecule: long non-coding RNA, 3919 nt
Organism: Oryzias sinensis (Chinese medaka)
Lineage: Eukaryota; Metazoa; Chordata; Actinopteri; Beloniformes; Adrianichthyidae
Source: Ensembl